RNAcentral lists this ribosomal RNA (483 nucleotides) under Pontastacus leptodactylus (narrow-clawed crayfish). Its description in RNAcentral is "Astacus leptodactylus (narrow-clawed crayfish) partial large subunit ribosomal RNA". It matches the Rfam family "Bacterial large subunit ribosomal RNA", at positions 1857 to 2602 of the family's 2925-position model. The record is from RNAcentral. Lineage: Eukaryota; Metazoa; Arthropoda; Malacostraca; Decapoda; Astacidae.
ACCUGCCCAUUGGAAUCUAAAAGGCCGCGGUAUUAUGACCGUGCUAAGGUAGCAUAAUCAUUAGUCUUUUAAUUGAAGGCUGGUAUGAAUGGUUGGACAAGAAAUAAGCUGUCUUAAAUAAAAAUAUUGAAUUUAACUUUUAAGUGAAAAGGCUUAAAUUUUCUAAGGGGACGAUAAGACCCUAUAAAACUUUAUAUUUUAAAAUAAUAAUUAAUUUUUAUAUAGAAGAUUUAUUUUUAAAUAUUUUAUUGGGGUGAUAAAGAUAAAAUGUGAGAUAACUGUCUUUUUUUUUUUACAAUUAAUAUUUGAGUAAAAGAUCUUAACAAAGGAAAUAAGAGAUUAAGUUACUUUAGGGAUAACAGCGUAAUUUUCUUUAAGAGUUCUUAUCGACAAGAAAGUUUGCGACCUCGAUGUUGAAUUAAAAGUUCUUUAUAGAGUAGAUAUUAUAAUAGAGGGUCUGUUCGACCCUUAAAAUUUUACGUG